This 465-nucleotide ribosomal RNA is filed under the name Vreelandella stevensii. Its description in RNAcentral is "partial 16S ribosomal RNA". It matches the Rfam family "Bacterial small subunit ribosomal RNA", at positions 338 to 795 of the family's 1533-position model. Lineage: Bacteria; Pseudomonadati; Pseudomonadota; Gammaproteobacteria; Oceanospirillales; Halomonadaceae. The record is from RNAcentral.
CCUACGGGUGGCUGCAGUGGGGAAUAUUGGACAAUGGGCGAAAGCCUGAUCCAGCCAUGCCGCGUGUGUGAAGAAGGCCUUCGGGUUGUAAAGCACUUUCAUUGGGGAAGAAAGCCUUGGGGCUAAUACCCUCGAGGAAGGACAUCACCCACAGAAGAAGCACCGGCUAACUCCGUGCCAGCAGCCGCGGUAAUACGGAGGGUGCGAGCGUUAAUCGGAAUUACUGGGCGUAAAGCGCGCGUAGGCGGUCUGGUAAGCCGGUUGUGAAAGCCCCGGGCUCAACCUGGGAACGGCAUCCGGAACUGUCAGGCUAGAGUGCAGGAGAGGAAGGUAGAAUUCCCGGUGUAGCGGUGAAAUGCGUAGAGAUCGGGAGGAAUACCAGUGGCGAAGGCGGCCUUCUGGACUGACACUGACGCUGAGGUGCGAAAGCGUGGGUAGCAAACAGGAUUAGAUACCCGGGUAGUC